Molecule: non-coding RNA, 754 nt
Organism: Macaca mulatta (Rhesus monkey)
Lineage: Eukaryota; Metazoa; Chordata; Mammalia; Primates; Cercopithecidae
Source: RefSeq, a predicted model, not a curated record
GGAGUCCAGGUCCCCAGCCCCUCCUCCCUCAGACCCAGGAGUCCAGGUCCCCAGCCCCUCCUCCGCCAGACCCAGGAGUCCAGGUGCUGAUUCUCUGAAAGUAUUCGAUCAACUGGGCUCUGGUUACCUGAAGCCCAAACCCCACACCUUGGACAGAACUUUGGCAGUGACUCCAAUUCCCUUCAGCCCCUGGCCCCUCACUGGUGACCUUUGACCUCACAAUGCCUCUUUCCCCAGCCCUGUGGGGAGGCAGUUGGGGCGUGAGGUUGAGGGAGACAGAGUGGCCUGACCUGUCCUGCCCUGUAAGCUGGGUGAGUUGGCACUGAUUCUGGAGGAUGGACGUGAAUGGCCGUGGUUACUGGUCGCUAGACUCUGGGAAAGGCUGCUGCUGUUUGACAUCGCACAGUCAGAAGGGAUCAUCUCAGCUAGCCUGCAGCAUCUAUAUCACUUUCACCAUGAGACACUGCCUCGAUUUCCAAUCCAGGUGCAGAGCUUCAGAUAGGAGUUUGGGAUCACAACAAUCCCCAUCUCCAUUUUUUUCAACUUUCAUUCCAAGAAAAUAGGACCUUAGGUCCAAUUCCCACAGCUGGGACUUGAGGUUCAACUCUGCGCUCACCUGUCCCCGGCCCUCGAGGCCUGGGCCCCUUUAUUCCAGCGCCCCCACAGGCUGAUGCCCCACCGCACCCCAGGGCUCCACUCCCCAAAUCACAACCUCCCCACCCCCACGCCUCCCUCAUUACAGGGUGCCCCUCCA